GGCGCAGCUUACCAUGCAGUCGAGCGGUAACAGGGGGUGCUUGCACCCCGCUGACGAGCGGCGGACGGGUGAGUAAUGCAUAGGAAUCUGCCCAGUAGUGGGGGAUAGCCCGGGGAAACCCGGAUUAAUACCGCAUACGCCCUUUGGGGGAAAGCAGGGGAUCUUCGGACCUUGCGCUAUUGGAUGAGCCUAUGUCGGAUUAGCUAGUUGGUGGGGUAAAGGCCUACCAAGGCGACGAUCCGUAGCUGGUCUGAGAGGAUGAUCAGCCACAUCGGGACUGAGACACGGCCCGAACUCCUACGGGAGGCAGCAGUGGGGAAUAUUGGACAAUGGGGGCAACCCUGAUCCAGCCAUGCCGCGUGUGUGAAGAAGGCUUUCGGGUUGUAAAGCACUUUCAGUGAGGAGGAAAACCUUCUGGUUAAUACCCAUGAGGCUUGACGUUACUCACAGAAGAAGCACCGGCUAACUCCGUGCCAGCAGCCGCGGUAAUACGGAGGGUGCAAGCGUUAAUCGGAAUUACUGGGCGUAAAGCGCGCGUAGGUGGUUUGAUAAGCGAGAUGUGAAAGCCCCGGGCUUAACCUGGGAACGGCAUUUCGAAC
RNAcentral lists this ribosomal RNA (599 nucleotides) under Marinobacter sp. RNAcentral describes it as "bacterial SSU rRNA". It matches the Rfam family "Bacterial small subunit ribosomal RNA", at positions 41 to 633 of the family's 1533-position model. Lineage: Bacteria; Pseudomonadati; Pseudomonadota; Gammaproteobacteria; Pseudomonadales; Marinobacteraceae. The record is from RNAcentral.